CAGGAAGUCCAGGCUCAUGAACGCUGAGGCAUCUGCCAGUACAGCACCAGAGGAGGCAGUAGUGACGUUGGGGGGCAGUUGCAGAAGAAGAUGAGGAGUUCCCCAGCAGGAAGCCACAAACCCGGCAGGAACCUGCAGGGGAAUCGCAGCAUGUGUGGGUGCCCAGGAGGAAAUGCAGCCCCAGUGUCUGAGCAGCGCCUGGCCAUGGAGUGCUGCGGCCCAAGAACAGCGCUAUUCUGCCCUUGCCGAGAUGGCUUUCCAAGGAGGACUUGUCUGUGGGGGUCAAGGAGGUUAUUCGGGUUAUGUGGGCUCGUUGGGGUCUGUCCUCACAAAAAGCAGAGGGCUGGCUCAUCCAAAAGCUUGGUGAUUGCUUGGAAGCCCAAACCCUUCUGGCCUCCAAUGACCCCAUAGGCCCGACUGACCCCAUAGACCUUUUUGACCGAGUGACCACAGUGACCUCACAUGAACCAUAUAACCCCACUGAUCCUCAUGAUCCCAAUGAUCCCACAUGGGCCCAGUGACCCCACAUGACCCCACUGACCCCACCGAUCCCAAAGAUCCUAAUGAUACCCAUGACCCCAUAAGACCCCAACAACCCAUUAACCCUACUGACCCCAGUGACCCCAUUAAGCUCAUAUGACCCUAUUGACCCCACUGACCCCAUUAAUCCCAAUGACUCCAUUGACUCCAAUAACCCCCACUGACCGCAUUAAGCCACUUGACCCCAAUGAACCAAUUGACCCCAAUGACUCCAUUGACUACAAUGACCCCAAUAACACCCUUUGACCCUAAUGACCCCCAUUGCCGCAGGGACCACAUUGACCCUUAUGAUCCGAUUGAAUCCAAUGACCCCAUUCACUUCAAUGACCCUAUUUACUCCAAUGACCCCACUGACACCAAUGACCCCAUUCACUCUAAUAACCCCAUUUAAUUCAAUGACCACAAAGACCCCUAUGGCCCCCACUGACCCCAAUGACCCCCAUUGACCCCAGUGACCCCAUUGACUCCAAUGUCCCCAUAGACCCCAAUGACCCCAUUGUCUCCAAUGACCCCAAUCAGGAUGCAGCCUGGGGGAAACGUCUCCUGCUUCGAAUCAUGCAGCACCUGAGCGAGAGGCUGACCCAGCCUGGCUACACAACAAUCGUGUGUAUUUCUCUGUUCUGAUGCUUCACAGAACCCCAUUGGGUGAGCCUCCUGUUGGUUUCUUCAAAUUUGGUACCAAUCCUGGGGACCAAAACCACAGCCUGAAAGGCUGGAACCAGUCCAAGGGCUUAAAGCCACAAUGCCAGCUGCAGAGGCCAGAAGCAGCCAAGGGCCUGAGGCCACAGACACAGGCGGGGAGCCCAGCACUGGCCCUGGGACUUAAAGCCACAGCCGGAGAGGCUGAAAUCAGCCCUGGGACUCAAAGCCCCAAACAGAGAUGCUGGCACAGGCCCUGGGUUUAGUUUUCUACGGGUUCCCCUGGGACUCCAUUGACCACUCUGAGGCCAUACUGGUCUUGACUGGUUUUUACUGGGCUGCACAACAGUCAUCUUCACUUCUCCAUUAUUCAAAUAACCCCACUGGGUGACCCUGGUGGUGAUUUCCUAAGAUGUGGAUCAGGGAGUCGUCCAUUUCCUUCGCUUAUGAUGAAAGCACGGAAGCGAUGCGGGCACUCGCUGAGGUCACAAUCACUGCUGGGCUGGCAGCGUUUCCGCCACAGCUGGUGAGCAGAGCUGGUGCUCUGGUGAGCGUGCUGCACACCGAGGCUGAGCUCUGGGCCUUCCGUGGAACAGAUCACCCUGUGAGAGCCCGUCAGAAGCACCGCGUGUGCACUCGUCGGUACUCUCUGCAGGGUUCCUGUCCCAAGGGAGAUUUUGGGAUCGAGGCAGUCGGAGGAAGAGGGAAGCCAGCUCUUUGCAAGGGCCGGGGAAGUUCCUGUGCACAGAGGCCUGGGACCUUCAGCUUCCUCUGAGCCUUCAGCGGCCAUGUCUCAGCACGGAGACGACCGCGGUUCCAAUUGCUGCCGUCUGAGUGGCAAGGUAUGGCUGGGCUUCUUCUGCUUGGUUCUUCCUUUCUCUUUUUAUCAUGGGGAAUGGAUGGAGCAGGGGGAGCCCUGCUGGUCCUUGGUGACCUCAGUAACCGGUUGCAUUCAGCGCUCACUGCUGACAGCCUGGGCUAACAACGCGGACGUGGCUCAGGCCGUCUUUUCCCUUAGUGAUAAUCAGUGUCUCAGCACUCUGACAUCCCCUCUCUGGCACCAUCUGGAACCUCUCUGCAAGCCUUGGCUGCCCGUUCCCACCACCGUUUCUUCCUUUCUCUCUUCAGAAGCGGCGCGGUGCGGUUCCCCGCGGUUGGGAGCAGCAGCCAGCAGGCUGCCAGAGAUCCCACCGCGCCUUCCAGCGCACAGAGGGACGCAACAGGGACGGACGGUCCUUCAUGCCAUACAGAAGUGAGUUUCUUCAGCCAUCUGUCGUGAAGUGUGGAGGAAUGAAUUUUGAGUAUUCCUUCUGGGCGGGUGCAGCGCUGCAGGGGAUGUCAAGUGAGCAUCCCUUUGGAGUGCAGGAAGGAGCAGUGAGAAGUGAACUCUCAAUCAGUUUGUGUUUGGGCUGUCCAAGUAGCCUCUUUCUGUUUUCUGGGGGGACGUGGGCAUACUGGGCAGUACUUCUGCUGCCUGCUGGUGUCUGUGAAAUCAACACACCAUCUGUUGUUGUAGGGAUGGAGCCUGCGCGUCCAUGGAGUGGUGCUGGGCAAGGCUGGAAACGCAAAGCCUCCGCAGGUAAGAAGCUCUUGUGAGCUGUGCUGACUGCAGAAGCGGCAUAAUGUUGUAGCAGCAGAAAGGCAAGCUGAAGAAACUGCUCUUGAAGACCAGAAGAUUGUGGUUGGCUGUGCUCAAAUCUUCCGCCAUAGAGAUGCUCUUCAUGUCUGUCUUGUCUCCUUUCUGCCAGAAGCUGAUGCGAGCGGCCUUCCAGCAAAGCGCAGCCUUGCAGAAAGGCAAGGCAGAAGCGCCCAGUGUGGCACAGCACCCAAGAGAGGUACAGACACACAGCAGGCACCUGGGUUUGGUGCACUGUCUCUCUAGUGAGGCUUUCUGUCCGUCCUUUCCUGGGACUGUGGACGUUGUGUGUUUGUUCUGGUCUUAAUCCCUGGCAUGUACAGUUAGCAUUCCUGUGCUGAUUAGAAAUGUGAACCCACAGUUCAGCCGAGAUCCUAUGAUCCAUGACCGUGAGCACUUGAGAUGAGAUGUCCCAGGAUUGUGACCCGUUUUGCAGGCUGAAAGUAGUGUUGGGCUCUCAUUAAAUCUCCUUGUUUUUCCUUUCUUAACAGAGAUUGGUGCUGAGCGAAAUGACAAAAUCUAUGUCAAAGUGGUCCAGCAGGUCCAUACUGAGAGAGCUUCUCAACAGGCAGCAGCUCAAGCUCCUCUCCAGGCUGGAGGUCCUCUUAGAAGAGCAGGUCCCAGCACAGGGGGAAGACCUUCCCCUGCCGUGUGCCCCCGCUCUGUCUCCAGCACCCUGGCUGGAUAUAAACGCAAGGCCUUGGAGGAAGAGAAACCAACAGCAGCUCAGCUGCCUUCCAAUAAGAGAGUGAGGGGGCCGAGUGGAGACUGUGUGCCGGCUCCAGCAGCACACCCUGGGCCUGCUGCAGCGCGGAGCUCCAAGCAAAGAGGUGAGAAGGUGCUGUGGUACCCGCCGUGCUGAGGCGCUUCCCUGUGCGAGCACACUGAGUUUGCUUAGGGUUGGCUUUGCUUUUUCCUUCUCUGUGGAGGGGAAAAGAGUGGAAGG
Molecule: long non-coding RNA, 3761 nt
Filed under: Gallus gallus (chicken)
Lineage: Eukaryota; Metazoa; Chordata; Aves; Galliformes; Phasianidae
Description: lncRNA (ENSGALG00010029072.1)
Source: RNAcentral